UCCCCAGUGGCGCAAUUGGUUAGCGCGCGGUACUUAUAAUGCCGAGGUUGUGAGUUCGAUCCUCACCUGGGGAA
This 74-nucleotide transfer RNA is filed under the name Argiope bruennichi. RNAcentral describes it as "transfer RNA isoleucine (anticodon UAU)". It matches the Rfam family "tRNA". Rfam says of the family: Transfer RNA (tRNA) molecules are approximately 80 nucleotides in length. Their secondary structure includes four short double-helical elements and three loops (D, anti-codon, and T loops). Further hydrogen bonds mediate the characteristic L-shaped molecular structure. tRNAs have two regions of fundamental functional importance: the anti-codon, which is responsible for specific mRNA codon recognition, and the 3' end, to which the tRNAs corresponding amino acid is attached (by aminoacyl-tRNA synthetases). tRNAs cope with the degeneracy of the genetic code in two manners: having more than one tRNA (with a specific anti-codon) for a particular amino acid; and 'wobble' base-pairing, i.e. permitting non-standard base-pairing at the 3rd anti-codon position. RNAcentral also lists the same sequence under 3 other names. The record is from RNAcentral. Lineage: Eukaryota; Metazoa; Arthropoda; Arachnida; Araneae; Araneidae.